GACCAAUCAGCGCGUUCUGCUGCUUUAUGAAUUGCUCUCUCUGAGGCUUCAGCUGCGGAUGACUGUGUGUAUCAACUGCCUGGCGGAGGAAGAGGAGAAAAGCGUGGAAACUAUAAGGCAUUGACCACACACACAGAGUUUCAAACACUGGUGAAGAGGAUUAAGCAGUAGGGUUACAAGAGUUAUCCUGAAUGGCCCAUAUAGGGAAGGAGAAUGUGCCAGAAAACAUCCUGCUUCCAAGGACUUCUGCAGAUCCGGGGCGGAAGGAGAGCACUUUGCUUACAGCGGGUGCCUUGAGCAGCAGUAAGAUUCCAGUGCUGUCCAGAAGAAGGCUUCUUCCAGAGCUGAAGCAAUCUCAGCAGCCACAGAAUCGGUUCCAGCAAGGUUGCCAGCCGAAAAAGACCGACAUUCAUGCAGGUUCAGCACCUGGUUUGGAACUCAGAGUGGGAUUGCAGCCCAAGAACAAUGCCAGAGAGCCCUUGGGGGAGGUGCAGCUAAGCGCAUCCGGUCAUAGGAGCGUCAGCGCUGUGCCUGAUGGCAAAGAGUCAAGCACUGAUGAUUUUGUGCCUGACUUUGCUGCCCUUGCCAGCAUCCUGUCCAACACAGGGCUAACAAAUCACAUGGUGAGUGCCAGCCACAAGCCCAGUCUGGCUCAGCGUAUCCCUCUGAAAGGAAAUAGAGCGUUCUCUGUAAGCACUGGGGUGAGACAAGGUUCUCAAUACAUGGGAGCUUCUGAGACAAAUCUCACUCGAACGUCCCACAUCUCCAGGCCAACUUCAAAAGAUUCAAAUCACCCACAAUCUUGUAGCUUGGUCCUGAAUACUCAGCAACUUAAGAUGCUGUCGAUGUCACUUGAGGAUCCACUGGAGAACUUGAAACCUGGGGUGAAGGGAUCAAAACCUAGCCAGCUAACAAAGAACCUAGAAGGAGGCACAUGCAAAGAUUUAGCUGCCAAAGCUAACGGACUGAGUGGCAUUGCUAAGGGUAGACUUCCUGUGCAGAGCAGCUUGGCUGGAAGGAAGGAGACCAUAGGAACACCAAGCCAAGUGGGCGAGUUUGUGGCAAACCCAGCUGCGAAAGCUAGCAUUCUGUUGAACAUAGGCCUCAGCCAUUCAGCUCCUAGGGCCAAUGGUAAGCUGAGUUUGGCCCAGCGUGUGCCAGUGAAAGAGGGGCAGAGGACACCCGGCACCUCCAGAAACACAACGGGUGAAAAUGUUUGUUUACAGGGACCCUGUAUGGGUGCACCUCAGUCAGAAAAGUUUGGUCGUGUAUCCUGUCAUUCUACCCAAGGUCUUAGAGGCCUGGCAAAGUCGGAAGCUUCAGGAGCCCAGCUGACCACCACGCCUGGCAGCAGGUGUCCUGCUGUUGACUGUUCUCCCUAUGGACUAGCCAGGAGAGUUCCUCUUGCCUGUCCACAGUCUUUGUGUCGCACCCCUUGGACCUGUAAUCGCAUGCUUCCUCGUUCCUGCACAAAGAACAAGAAGGUGAAUGGUUUAGGUGGGAUUACUCCACAAAAGGACACAACUGAAUCCAAACAAGAUGGCACCAAUACACCCUGGAAGAGUAUUGCUGUGUGCCUCUUUGAAGAUGAAAUGGCUUCGUCACAGAAAGCUUCGUCAAAGGAAGCAUCCACACUUCCUGCGAUCCGUCCAGAAAUGGGAAAACUCCAGCGUAUUGAACUCCUUUCCCAACUCCUGAGGGAUGAGGUGAACAACGGCAUUGAUGACGACAUUUCUCCCUCACUGGCGGAACUGCACAAACUGUUGUUGGUCCAUCAUUCAGCUGUCCAAGAUACUUCUGAGGCUGGUCUCCACACUGCAUCUCCUCCAGAUCCUAGGUUAAAUGUCCACAGGGCAGCAUCAACAUCCACUGUCACUUCUGAAACUCCUCACACCACUACCAGCAGUCAGCCCCAUGACUGUCCCAGUCUCACCAGGUCUUCUGCCUGUCUCCCUUUAUCCAAUACAGUUAAUACAGACAAAGUCAAGCAGCGGUUGGAUGACCUCCUCAGCGCACGCCAUCGCUUCCAUGAGGCCUGCCUGAAUGAUGAGUGUGCCUUCUAUACUGCCCGCAUCCAUUCUCUCCCCCAGGCUUCAGGGCAGCGCUGCAAAGAGCCUGUGGCAAAAAUGCUGGAUGCUCAGGAGGCCAUGCACUUUAUACCCAUUUCUCCUCUGUCACUGCCCACAGAAGAUGUUUGCCCUAAUGAAGAUCUGAGCCUGGAUGCUCACGAUAGGACUGCAGAUGCUGAGACAGCAUGCUGAUGUUUUUCAUCACCUGAAGGCUUAUCUUCUAAACUGGGGGAGAUUCUAAAUCUUACCUUCUAAACCUUGGAAUAUUCAUCUCCAGCUGCUGCCUACUAGACUCAAUGGCUACCAGUAAAUGUCCCCGUGAUGCGGAAUCACAAUGGAUAUGGAACCAAGAUCCUUUCCCUAUUCCUUGUCUGAAAGCAUCUGUUGCUUGGUGGAAGCAGGUGCCUGGUGACUUGGGCCGUAAGGUUUCACAUUUUGCACUGAACUGGGAAAUGUUGCUACAGAAGACAACAUACUAACAUUGUACAUUAACUCCAUUUGAUCAGCAUUUUUUUAAACAAUAAUUAAACCACUGAAAACAAAAGACACCUCCUGUUACUUUGAAAUGGUUAUCUGCUGGAUGUCUGUCUUUCCAAUCAGUAGGCUCAGUUUCUUUGGCUUUUGUUUUAGGUUCUCUCUGUGUAAAUCGGUCUUCCUGUUUUGCUGGGAGGUCUUUUUUGCUGUUUCAUAUUGAGGGCUAGGGAAAGAUACAGGAAGUUGAAGCUAGGCACUGGCCCUGAUUUCACUUAAAUUAGCAUUGACUUCUAGUAAGGUUGGUUAGGAACGCUUUAUGGACUGGGCUUCAGUCAUAGAAGAGCCUGAACCCCCAUUAAAGGUUCUAGUCUUUGCAGUUUUAAAUGACGUUUUAAAUUUUAGUAAUACAAAAUCUCCAUUUUAAAGUUUUUUUAAUUGCCAAGUUCUCUUGGGAGACUUUUUUAGUGAUUAAAAUAAAAACGUUGGCUGAUCUGAAGCA
This 3042-nucleotide long non-coding RNA is filed under the name Salvator merianae (Argentine black and white tegu). Its description in RNAcentral is "lncRNA (ENSSMRG00000005493.1)". The record is from RNAcentral. Lineage: Eukaryota; Metazoa; Chordata; Lepidosauria; Squamata; Teiidae.